This 459-nucleotide ribosomal RNA is filed under the name uncultured bacterium. Its description in RNAcentral is "bacterial SSU rRNA". It matches the Rfam family "Bacterial small subunit ribosomal RNA", at positions 28 to 507 of the family's 1533-position model. The record is from RNAcentral.
GACGAACGCUGGCGGCGUGCUUAACACAUGCAAGUUGGACGGUACGACAUGGAAGCUUGCUGAAGUGUCGUACAGUAGCGAACGGGUGAGUAAUGCAUGAGAAUCUGCCCUUUGGAGGGGGACAACAGCUGGAAACGGCUGCUAAUACCCCGUAAGCCGGGAGGUGAAAGGUACGCGAGUACUGCCGGGGGAUGAGCUCAUGUCCUAUCAGCUGGUUGGUGGGGUAACGGCCCACCAAGGCGACGACGGGUAGCCGGCCUGAGAGGGUGACCGGCCACACUGGAACUGAGACACGGUCCAGACUCCUACGGGGGGCAGCAGUGGGGGAUCCUGCACAAUGGGCGAAAGCCUGAUGCAGCGACGCCGCGUGAGCGAAGAAGGCCUUCGGUUGUAAAGCUCUGUCUGGAGGGACGAACAAAAUAGACGGUACCUCCGGAGGAAGCCACGGCUAACUACGUG